CCGGCGGUAACGGAAGGGCGCCGUGCCCCGGCGGCGGCGAUGGCGCGGCGCGUCGUGAAGGGGUUGCUGCUGCUGGAGGCGGCGGGGCUGCUCGGCGCCCUCCUGCUCUACCGCGCCAUGGACAGCAGCCAAGACUUCAGACAUACAAUGCAGAAGAGAUUUCCAUCAAUUCUGGAAGUGUAUUACAAAUCCAAUGAGUGGUCUGGAAUUCACGGCAUAAGGGAGAAUGACCAAAUGACAUGGUUAAGCAGCAAGAACUGAACCCUUUGUGCCUGAACUGUUUCUUCCUUUUGAUGAUACUUUUCACAUCCCUAUUGUGAAGCCACUUGUCACGCUCAAUUUCCCACUGGAUCUGUUUGGCAUCUGUAAGAGGAAAGGUGAGAAAUAAGGAGCUGAUGGAUACCUCUGACCACGAUGUGGAACACAGAUGAAUCAUGUAAAAGUAUUUAUAAGUGUUAAUAAAGUGCAAGGUGCCAAUUUUUUUUGACACCAGAAAAA
Calidris pugnax (ruff) is the source of this 498-nucleotide long non-coding RNA. RefSeq lists it as uncharacterized. Lineage: Eukaryota; Metazoa; Chordata; Aves; Charadriiformes; Scolopacidae. The record is from RefSeq and is a predicted model, not a curated record. The transcript has 4 exons.